ACUAGGGCGACGGCUGGACGCCUCCUCGCUUUGGGAUGAAUUAGCGGCGGGUUCUGCCCUGAGGUUGUGACCCCUUCGGAGUCCCAGACUAGUCCACGCGCCUCCCACGGCGUCGCACGGAGUCCCCUGCCAGUCACAGGCUGAAAGACAGAGUUGAGAUUCUCUUCUGGGAAGCUGGCAACAAAAGGAGGAUAUGAUAUCUUGCGUUCCAGGGAAAAAUAAAUUGUGAUGCUACUGAACCCAUGGGCAAUUAACAAGACAGUUUCUAGCUACUGAAUGUGCUUUCUGAAAUCAGGACUGUAAAAGCUUUGGAAUCAUGGUGUCAUGGAAAGGGAUUUACUUUAUACUCACUCUGUUUUGUGGAAGCUUUUUUGGAAGCAUUUUCAUGCUGAGUCCCUUUUUACCUUUGAUGUUUAUAAACCCAUCUUGGUAUCGCUGGAUCAACAACCGCCUUGUGGCAACCUGGCUCAC
Molecule: long non-coding RNA, 471 nt
Organism: Propithecus coquereli (Coquerel's sifaka)
Lineage: Eukaryota; Metazoa; Chordata; Mammalia; Primates; Indriidae
Exons: 3
Source: RefSeq, a predicted model, not a curated record